UAUAUCGCGUCUCAUCUAGAUGCGAUAUAUCGAUCCCUGAAUGCACUCCCCGUCAACUCCGGAACUCCACUGGAGCGAGCGGUGGUAGCGGAGUCGACGGGGGAGCCACGGAUGUCGAUCCCGUGCCGUGAGGAGGGGAGACGAAACCCCAGUUCCAGUCGCCCUUGAAUGUUAAGGAGGUUUGGAACCAGAUCUAAACCUGAACUCCCUGGCUCAUACCCAUCUCUAGUCCUAUUCAUGUGCAGAUGAAUAAGGACAGGGAAAUAAUAAUGAAUUUACAAUGCAACUCCUUGAAUCUACACUCAAAAUCAAGUUCAGCUGUUCCCUACUCCCUGAGACCUUAAUCCAGGAAAGCUUGUGCUUAAGUCCAGACUAUUCAGAAAAACACUUAAAUAUGCACUUCACUUGAGGCACAAAUUUCAGUUAUGUCCUGAAUAAGAGGCUGAAUAAAGAUGAGCUAGGAAAGAGGCAAA
Molecule: long non-coding RNA, 473 nt
Organism: Gopherus flavomarginatus (Mexican gopher tortoise)
Lineage: Eukaryota; Metazoa; Chordata; Testudines; Testudinidae
Exons: 3
Source: RefSeq, a predicted model, not a curated record